CAAACGACUCUCGGCAACGGAUAUCUCGGCUCACGCAUCGAUGAAGAACGUAGCAAAAUGCGANACUUGGUGUGAAUUGCAGAAUCCCGUGAACCAUCGAGUUUUUGAACGCAAGUUGCGCCCGAAGCCAUUCGGCCGAGGGCACGUCUGCCUGGGCGUCACGC
RNAcentral lists this ribosomal RNA (164 nucleotides) under Felicia aethiopica. RNAcentral's name for it is "5.8S ribosomal RNA". It matches the Rfam family "5.8S ribosomal RNA". From Rfam's summary of the family: 5.8S ribosomal RNA (5.8S rRNA) is a component of the large subunit of the eukaryotic ribosome. It is transcribed by RNA polymerase I as part of the 45S precursor that also contains 18S and 28S rRNA. The record is from RNAcentral. Lineage: Eukaryota; Viridiplantae; Streptophyta; Magnoliopsida; Asterales; Asteraceae.